AGAAUCAACAUGAUAAUAUGUGGUAAAUGUGUAUUUAUCAGUUCUGGAUGUUUAGGUAAGUUAGGAAAUGUUUGGAUGGAUUUAGAAGGGAUAACCAUUGUUGAUACAUGAUUUAAAAAUGGAACUUUUGGAAAAAAACAGCAGUGUCAAUAGAUUGACACCCAAGGACAAUCAAUUAAUGUAAAUCGAUUUAUUCUCCCAACUAAUCGAUUGACAUAGUGCCAAAACCAAAAAUUGUCAUUUUAGUAUCCUUG
This 254-nucleotide long non-coding RNA is filed under the name Lathyrus oleraceus (garden pea). Its description in RNAcentral is "Pisum sativum (pea) long non-coding RNA (PSAT_LNC037355)". Lineage: Eukaryota; Viridiplantae; Streptophyta; Magnoliopsida; Fabales; Fabaceae. The record is from RNAcentral.